GACGAACCGUGCGAACGUUAUUCGGAGUCACUGGGCUUAAAGCGCGUGUAGGCGGGCGGGCACGUCCGACGCUGAAAUCCCCCGGCUCAACCGGGGAAUGGGCGGGGAUACGACCAGCCUGGAGGGACGGAGGGGGACCUGGAACUUCCGGUGGAGCGGUGAAAUGCGUUGAGAUCGGAAGGAACGCCCGUGGCGAAAGCGAGGUCCUGGACGUCUACUGACGCUGAGACGCGAAAGCCAGGGGAGCGAACGGG
Molecule: ribosomal RNA, 254 nt
Filed under: uncultured bacterium
Lineage: Bacteria
Description: partial 16S ribosomal RNA
Rfam family: Bacterial small subunit ribosomal RNA
Source: RNAcentral